UAAUUUAUACUUCCCUUAUUUGUUUCUUCCUUUAUACACGGGUCAUGUACAUGUACCUAUAUAUUUCUUCUCCACCAGUAAUACAAUAUAGUCGUUCAUACAUUCUUCUCAAUACCUUAUAUGGUAUCAGAACGAUCUGUGUAAACACACUUGAUCCAACAUUCAUCACCAUGUUUGAUGCCGCCGUUGCAGCCAACACUGCCCUCAUCGCCGAGCCUGCGCCACAUUCAACACCCAAGACCCUCACAAGUCUCUCCUUUCUUGUAACAUGUCUAAUGUUACAAAACUAACGACGACAAAUUAUUUUACAUGGAGCGUUCAAGUUCGUUCGCUGCUUGAAGGUUACAACCUUGUCUGCUUCAUCACUGAUGCAUCUGUUCUUCCUCACUGUGACUGUCGACAGAGUCAUAUCCGCCAACCCUGUGUUUGGUCCAUGGAAGCAACAAGAUCGCCUCAUAUAUAGCUCCUUGCUCGAUGCCCUGUCUGUGAAUCUACAGCAUCUCAUAGCGUGAUCUGCAUCAACUCGAGUCUCGAGAUGUCUGGCGCACUCUGGCAAAUACUUAUGGUCGCGCCUCACAUGGACACAUUCUUCAACUUCGGGACCAAGUGAAGCGAAGUGUCAAGGGCAGCCAAACAAUUGACGAAUACCUAAGGUUCAUUACCUCCAAAUCUGAUGAGUUGCACAACUCUCCAAACCCAUGGAUCACGAAAACAUCCUCGAGGCAAUUCUAGAAGGUCUCCCUGACGAUUACAAACCUGUGAUCGAUGCAGUCAAUGCUCGAGACACAACAAUCACCAUCGAAGAACUGCACGAGAAGUUGCUCAAUCACGAAACCAAACUUGAUGUUGUAUCGCUAACAACACCCCCUGUGACAGCAAAUCCUCCCACACAUCACAACCAUCCUCGGCGCUACAACUCCAACCCUCGAAACAAUGCUCCCUCAUGGUGCCAAUCCGCACAUCACUCUAGCAACAACUCUAGCUACAAAGGGAAAUGCCAAGUUGCAACACAGUCGGUCAUAGUGCAAAAUAUUAUCCCCUGUUUCGGCUUAUAUCUUCUCGACAGCGUGAUCGAACCAAAGACUCAACCAAUUUCUCUGCUCAGCCCUCUCGCCAAUGGAAUUCAUCUGCUUACAAAGCCAUGACUUCACCCUAUGACGCGACAUCAUGGCUUCUUGACAGCGGCACAACACAUCAAAUUACCUCGGACUUGCAGAACCUCAGUAUUCACAGUCCAUACAAAGGCGCUAAUGAUGUCGUCAUCGGAGAUGGUGAAGGAUCUAAGGACGUGAAAGGGGACUUCUAACCGGAAGAACUAAUCAGUGAGUUUACGAGUGGCCGAAAUCAUCCUCUCCCCCUUCAUCGUCUGUUGCAUUUACGAGUCUUAAGUCCACUUUGUCCGAGUGGCACUCACGUCUUGGUCAUCCGUCUUUAGCAAUUCUUAAGCACAUUGUGUCGCAUCAUGAGUUACCAUUGUCUUGGUCUCCCUUUCCUCGCAGUGUGUUUCUUGUUCACGGAAUAAAAGCCACAAAUUACCA
Long non-coding RNA from Tarenaya hassleriana, 1538 nucleotides. RefSeq lists it as uncharacterized. The transcript is spliced from 2 exons. The record is from RefSeq and is a predicted model, not a curated record. Lineage: Eukaryota; Viridiplantae; Streptophyta; Magnoliopsida; Brassicales; Cleomaceae.